Bos indicus x Bos taurus (hybrid cattle) is the source of this 1563-nucleotide long non-coding RNA. The record is from Ensembl. Lineage: Eukaryota; Metazoa; Chordata; Mammalia; Artiodactyla; Bovidae.
CUGGGGGCUCAUCUUUCCAGUCCAGGAUUCCUGGGCUGAGAAGCUCAAUUUAGGGCUCAGUGCUCUUGCUUUUAGGGGAGAAAGUCUGCCAUGUAAUUAUUCUCUUAGCUUGUGGGUUGCCCACCCAGUGGUAUAACAUUUAAUUAUAGUGCAAGUCUGCCCCUCCUACCCAUUUCAUCAGGUUUCUUCUUUAUGUCUUUAGUUGUAGAAGAUCUUUUCUGGUGGGUCCUGGUUGUCCUGUGGAUAGUUGUGAUUUUGCUGUACUCGCGAGAGGAGAUGAACUCAGCAUCUUUCUACUCCACUGUCUUGGCCAGUCUUCUCAGAUAUCUGGAAGUAGCUGUAGCAGAAGGAUCUUACUGUGGAAUAUGGAGUCUUCCUCUGGUAAAUUGAAAACGGUACCUCCCCUCUGUGAAUCUACCACCCUCCACAUGCUUGGCCCGGAUGCCGUACACCUGCUCAGCGUCAGCCGGAACCCACCGGAGCAUAUGGCAGCUCGCAUAUUGCCUCAUCCCAGGAUGGGUUGGGAACGCUGGUCACCUGGGCUCUGUUUUCAAGUGGUAUGACAGCAGCUGUGGGAAGCCCAGAGAAUGACAGGCUCUCACUGCUCUUCUUACCAGUGGGAAAGAAGAGCGAAGAGAACAGAAGGGAGAUGUUUUCAGAUACCCAGCAGCUAUGACUUGACUGCUCUGUAAAAGAACACACCACUCACUGGCUUUCCCCACUGUGAGCAGGUGCAAUAGAAGGGAAACCCUGAUUUUUUUCCUUAAACUGCUAGUCAAUUGUAGUUGACAGAAUUAUGGCCACUAAAGAGAUUUAAUCUCUAAUUCCCAGUACCUGUGACUAUGUUAUUUUAUGUGGCAAAGCAGAUUAGACAGCAGAUAGACUUAAGGUUUCUGGUCAUGUGCCUUUAAAAUAGGAACAUUAUUCAGAUAACCUGGGUGGGAUCAUUGUAAUCACAAGUGUCCUUAAACGGGGAAAAGAAGGCAGGAAAUGUCAGAGUAAUGCUAUGUGAGGACUCGACCUAUUGUUGCUGGCUUUGAAGAUGAAGGAAAGGGGCCACUAGACAAGUAAUAUGGGCAGCCUCUAAAGCCUGGAAAGGGCAAGAAAUAGAUUCUCCCCUAGAACUUCCAGAAAGGUGCACAUCCCAGCCCCAUGCCUUGAUUUUAACCCAAUGUGACCCAUGUUGGAACUGUGAACCUAGAAACUAAUAGAAUAAUGUGUCUUGUUUGUCAUAAUAAUUGUCAUAACAGCAAUAAGAAACUGAUAAGUGGAGUGCUGGCUUGAGUGGUGGCUCUCAAUUUUAGAGUGUAUUAAAGACAGCUGGGUAACUUUUAAAAGUCCUCAGGUGGGACCAUACCCCAGAGCAGUCAUAUCAGAAUUUCUUUAAGUGGGACCCCAAAAUCAGAAUUUUAUAAACUGCCUGGUGAUUUAAGGGCAGAAGCAAAGUUGAUGAUUUAGUGGAUAGAACCCCAAAAGUGUUUGGAGACAAGAAAGCUGAGUUCAAAUUCCAUUUCUAUCAUUUCAAGAUUGAGCUCAGUUUAUUUCACCUACACAUGAAGUGCA